This 1419-nucleotide long non-coding RNA is filed under the name Mytilus galloprovincialis (Mediterranean mussel). The record is from RNAcentral. Lineage: Eukaryota; Metazoa; Mollusca; Bivalvia; Mytilida; Mytilidae.
UUUUAUUUCUACAGUUUAAUUUGUUUAAAAGCUCUUCAAAUCAUAAACUGAUAUCAUUUUUUAAGUAAAUUUUAGGUUUCGAGCAUUACUAAAUACACACGAACAAGAGACAAAACGUCCAUUGCCAAAAAUUUCAGGUACUGAUACCGGGAAUUUUGGAUUGGACCUAAAAAUUUUCAUGGUUAUUCGGGAUUACACUAGAUAGAAAUUUCAUCUAGAAAAUUUAAGAGCGAGUAAAGACCGUUUUUUUAUGACUUCAGUAAGAAACUACUUCAAUCUCCUUUAUGUAAUAGAGGGCGUUUUAAAUAAAAGUAUGUUGCCUUCCAAAAUACAACUGAUGGCGCAAUGAAAGGGUGAAAUGCUAUAAAGGUUUGUAUGCGCAGAGAAUGAAACAUUCAUCUACACGAGAUAUCUGAUUUAAUACCUACAAUUUCACUGAUCAUAGCUGCUUGCAUUUACAUCCAACAUACUCGAACGGAUGCCUCUACUUUUACCAGGAUUAUACUGCCCAAUUAUUUUUUUUUAAUGAAAUAGUAAAAUGAGUAAACGUUAAGGAAAACAAAACUACCAAAUAAACCUACGUAUUUAUAAAAUGGACACGAAUGAUAGUUCCAGUAAAAGAAAAAAAACUUGAUAUUGACACUCUUGGGGGAUUGGACACGUUUGGGCGUUUAUACAAACUACACGAUGUGGCGCCUUUAACAUUUAAGAAAUGACUGUAAUAUUUGUUCUGUCUAUGAAGAAAUAACAUAAAAAAAUGAGGUGCACACUGAAUAACGCGCGUAGCGGGUUAUUUAACAGCGUGCACCACAUUUCUUAUGUUAUUUCGAAUAGACAGAAAAAAUAUUACAGUCAUUUUUUAUAAUUUAAUUCUGAAUUCCAUUUUAAACUGUAGAAAACCACGAAAAAAUGUUGAUGACGUCACGGUCACAUGACUAAAUUAUGUCUAUGUGCUGAUAACAAAAUAAUGUCAGCCAAUCAGAAGACGUGUUACAUCCAAAAUUAAACUAUUUUGACAUGUUUUGCAGUUCAGUGACGUCAAGGGGACACGUUUGGGGAAUCGAACACGUUCGGGGGGACGGACACGUAUCUGAGUGUCACAUAUUUAAUGUUCAUAGUACAUGCACUACAUAUAAAAUUAUUAAGUAAAAGUUAUGAAUAAUUUACAAACAUAUAUUCCAGACCAUAACUUAGUCUGUUGCAUAAUGUUUAGUUAAAAUUAGUUUCUGAUAAAGUGUUAAGAAAACUCAAUGUAUAUACAUAAGCUUAAGAGUAAUUUUAUUUUCACGUGUACGAAACACUCUAUAAUAUUUUUAUUAAGCACACAUUUUGAGAAGAAAACAUUCUAAAAUUUUCAUUUAAAAUGCUACAAUUUUAUAGAAGUAUCAGUGUCUCACCAUUUUUUCUGAUACAACAAAC